GACGAACGCUGGCGGCGCGCCUAACACAUGCAAGUCGAACGAGCGAGAGAGAGCUUGCUUUCUCGAGCGAGUGGCGAACGGGUGAGUAACGCGUGAGGAACCUGCCUCAAAGAGGGGGACAACAGUUGGAAACGACUGCUAAUACCGCAUAAGCCCACGGCUCGGCAUCGAGCAGGGGGAAAAGGAGCAAUCCGCUUUGAGAUGGCCUCGCGUCCGAUUAGCUAGUUGGUGAGGUAACGGCCCAUCAAGGCGACGAUCGGUAGCCGGACUGAGAGGUUGAACGGCCACAGUGGGACUGAGACACGGCCCAGACUCCUACGGGAGGCAGCAGUGGGGAAUAUUGCACAAUGGGGGAAACCCUGAUGCAGCGACGCCGCGUGGAGGAAGAAGGUCUUCGGAUUGUAAACUCCUGUUGUUGGGGAAGAUAAUGACGGUACCCAACAAGGAAGUGACGGCUAACUACGUG
This 466-nucleotide ribosomal RNA is filed under the name uncultured bacterium. RNAcentral's name for it is "partial 16S ribosomal RNA". It matches the Rfam family "Bacterial small subunit ribosomal RNA", at positions 28 to 507 of the family's 1533-position model. The record is from RNAcentral.